This 501-nucleotide ribosomal RNA is filed under the name uncultured bacterium. Its description in RNAcentral is "bacterial SSU rRNA". It matches the Rfam family "Bacterial small subunit ribosomal RNA", at positions 28 to 526 of the family's 1533-position model. The record is from RNAcentral.
GAUUAACGCUAGCGGGAUGCCUAAUACAUGCAAGUCGAACGAAGUAUUUAUACUUAGUGGCGAACGGGUGAGUAACACGUAUCCAACAUACCCAUAAGAGGGGGAUAACCAGUUGAAAAACUAGCUAAUACCCCAUAGCAUAUUUUUACAUAAGUAUUAAUAUUUAAAGUUGCGUUUGCAACACUUUUGGAUUGGGGUGCGACGUAUUAGAUAGUUGGUGAGGUAAUGGCUCACCAAGUCGAUGAUGCGUAGCUGUGCUGAGAGGCAGAACAGCCACAAUGGGACUGAGACACGGCCCAUACUUCUACGGAAGGCAGCAGUAGGGAAUUUUCCACAAUGGACGAAAGUCUGAUGGAGCAAUCCCGCGUGAAUGAUGAAGGUCCUACAAGAUUGUAAAGUUCUUUUAUUGGGGAAGAAAUGUAAGAAAAGGAAAUGUUUCUUAUUUGACGGUACCCUUUGAAUAAGUAUCGGCUAACUAUGUGCCAGCCGCCGCCGUAAAAC